This is a long non-coding RNA of Hevea brasiliensis (rubber tree), 1556 nucleotides long. RefSeq lists it as uncharacterized. Lineage: Eukaryota; Viridiplantae; Streptophyta; Magnoliopsida; Malpighiales; Euphorbiaceae. The record is from RefSeq and is a predicted model, not a curated record. The transcript has 2 exons.
UUAAUUAACCAUAGUAAGGCACAAACUCAAAAAAUUAGCCACCAUAUUCUUGCAUACAAAGAAGCAAAACUCUAUAAAGCAGCAGUGGAUUUGGAUUGGUAAAAUCCACGAAGUUCAACUAAGGCAAGCUAAGAGUUUGACUGACUUAUGAAAAUAUGUUCUCUAUUGGCUUCUAUGGGUAAUUUGCAGGUAUUAUGUGUAUAGUUUGCUGUUGGUCCCUGAGGUGAAGUAACUCCACAAUACUAUAGCAACAAGAGCUACCCAAUAAUUCCUCUAAUGGGUUCAGCCCAGUUGUUAAGAGCCUGAAAAGCCGGGCGUUUGAUCCUGUACAGAGGUGACCAGCCAACUUCAUCUAAUGCAAAUGGCUUGUCAGCCUACACAACAUGGACCCAUCUAUUAGUUGGCCAGUUAAAGGGAUGGUAAAUCUAAGCUUAAAUGGUACCCUUCUUUCUGUGGGAAAUAGGUACUCGAAAACACUUGGGUAGCACUAAAUUUUCAUAUAAAUAUGAAAAGGAUGUCAUAUUAAUACCGACACAUAGUUGGUGCGAGGCCUUUUCUUCUUUCUAUUCUGAACUCCAUGAGCAGAACUAUGUUUGUAUUGCUGUAUUUGAGACCUACUUGCAAUUGCAAUCAACCGGCAGCUAAUAAUUAAAUAUUGACCAUCGAUAAUUAUGGAAGAUCUAAAGAGUAACUAUUAGAAAUCUUAAUGCUUAGCAUUUUAAUUUUAAUUUUGAAUUCCAUUCGCCAGGCUGUGGAAAAAAAGAAAUGCAGAAUGAAGGCAAUGAUACAACAACUCACUACAAACCAUAAGAUGGAAAACUUCAUUUCAAAAACUUGGAUGCUUUUAAUUACAUUCCACUUCCUGUUGCAGAUUAUACUUCACAUGGGAAGACAAUGGUAUCUUUUGUCAGGUAGCAAACGACUUGUUUCAUUUCUCAACGUCACAAACAGCACAACUAUGUAAGGGCAUGCACUGCUUGCACUUCACCCUGAGCACGUAUAUUAAACUUCCAGCCAAAGAAAAAGUACGAAAUUCCAACAGAACAGCUCUUACAUGGAACUAGGAUACCCCAUGGCUUGAGCUCUACUGCUGGGGGUCUUUCACUAAUAGGCCUGUAUAAACGAUUAUGCUUUGGCUAUAGUGUCUGAAUUGCUGUGUUUUUGGGCUCUCUAUUUGACCUGUGAGUGGCAAUGAAGCGUUUGGUAAUUAUGUUCUGCUCUGUUGCGUUGGCUUUUACCUCUGUUCAUUCCUUCUGGUUACUGCUGCGUUGGCUUCAAGUUCUGUCUUCCCCUUCGCUGAAGCUUUGGUUCCUUGUCUCAGCUGGAUACUGUUUGUUUACUGUUUGAGUACUGGUAGUUUGUUCUUGAAGCGUGAUGAUUUUGACAAUUCUGCUAAUUAUAUCAUGUCAACCUUCUUGCUAGCAACUCGGCUCAUUUAUCCCCACUAAAUUACUGUUGUGACAUGUUCUGAACUUCCAUAUUCAGCUGUCAUACUUGGAUGGGCUGGGUUUUAUAGUAUGGUCGGGCUUCAAUCUUCGAACAAGAUAUUGUUCUCA